CGACGGGUGGGCGCCCGCGCAGCUGAACAGCAGCAGGUCUGACUGGAAGAUACAGUGGUGGCGAGUCGAGCUGUAGGCUGGGACCACGGUGUCAGCGCUCGACUCCACCGUCUGACAGUCCACUCCGAACCUGACGGUGGUGGAUGCCAGGCUGGUGUCUGUGUUUCAUGCCAGGGAGCUGGAGCUGGUCAUAGCUGGAACAGCUGACAUUGACUUAUCAGACUGGAGGAACAACACAGAGUACACAGGAGGUAUCAUCAACUGUGUCAACUCUACUUCCUGUCCCAAUAAAGGGGAAUCAAACACUG
Long non-coding RNA from Acanthopagrus latus (yellowfin seabream), 308 nucleotides. RefSeq lists it as uncharacterized. The record is from RefSeq and is a predicted model, not a curated record. The transcript has 2 exons. Lineage: Eukaryota; Metazoa; Chordata; Actinopteri; Spariformes; Sparidae.